UGGGGAAUAUUGCGCAAUGGCCGAAAGGCUGACGCAGCGACGCCGCGUGUGGGAGGACGCCUUUCGGGGUGUAAACCACUGUUGCCCGGGACGAAUGACGCUUUUCGAGGCGUUUGACGGUACCGGGUGAGGAAGCACCGGCUAACUCCGUGCCAGCAGCCGCGGUAAUACGGAGGGUGCGAGCGUUGUCCGGAAUCAUUGGGCGUAAAGGGCGCGUAGGUGGCCUGGUAAGUCUGUGGUGAAAGCGCGGGGCUCAACCCCGCGUCGGCCGUGGAUACUGCUAGGCUGGAGCACUGUAGAGGCAGGCGGAAUUCCGGGUGUAGCGGUGGAAUGCGUAGAGAUCCGGAAGAACACCAGGGGCGAAGGCGGCCUGCUGGGCAGUUGCUGACACUGAUGCGCGACAGCGUGGGGAGCAAACAGGAUUAGAUACCCCCGUAGUCC
RNAcentral lists this ribosomal RNA (441 nucleotides) under uncultured bacterium. RNAcentral's name for it is "bacterial SSU rRNA". It matches the Rfam family "Bacterial small subunit ribosomal RNA", at positions 355 to 796 of the family's 1533-position model. The record is from RNAcentral.